UACGGAGGGUGCAAGCGUUGUCCGGAAUCACUGGGCGUAAAGGGCGCGUAGGCGGCCUGUUAAGUCGAACGUGAAAUCCCCGGGCUCAACCCGGGAACUGCGUCCGAUACUGGCAGGCUUGAAUUCGGGAGAGGGAUGUGGAAUUCCAGGUGUAGCGGUGAAAUGCGUAGAUAUCUGGAGGAACACCGGUGGCGAAGGCGGCAUCCUGGACCGAUAUUGACGCUGAUGCGCGAAAGCCAGGGGAGCAAACGGGG
Molecule: ribosomal RNA, 254 nt
Filed under: uncultured bacterium
Lineage: Bacteria
Description: partial 16S ribosomal RNA
Rfam family: Bacterial small subunit ribosomal RNA
Source: RNAcentral